CUCCCGCCCCGGGGCUCCUGCCCGGACGGCGGCCGCCGCCGCCUCGUCUUCCCCGAGGGCUCCGCGUCCGUCUCCGCAGCUCGGCCGGGAACCUGGGAACUCGGACGCAGAAGGACGCGCCCGAGCCAGGACCCGCCGCGGGGUCCCUCUGGUGGGCCGUGGCCGGGGAGAGGACGCGGGCCCUGGCGGUCGAAGACGGACGCAGCGCCCGGAAAGGCGAGCCAGGUCUCCGGCUCCUGGCGCUUCCUGUGAGCUGGCUCGGCGGGGUGCGUCGCCGGGGAGGGAGGGACUGGCCGUGGGGCGAGCAGCCGGGCGGGGAGUGGCUUCUGGGGGCCUUCGCCAGCGGAGGGCCCGCGAGGCCGCCCUCGGAGCGCCGCCAGGUACGUGCGUUUUCCUUGUUUCCCGCGCUCCCAGAGCGCACUCUCGGUAGGGAACGAAUAAAAUCCCGGCUGGUGUGUAAGAGCCUUUCGCUGCAAACGUGUCUUUCUGCGGGAUUCGGGGAGCCGCCGAACGCGGGGUAGACCCCGGCCCAAAGUGUUCCUGCAGCUUCCACCAGGGACCCUUCUCCACCCUCACCUUGGGCUCGGAGCGGGUGCCAGUUUGGAAAUGCUUGUCUCUUCUGCAGCUCCGAUU
This is a long non-coding RNA of Homo sapiens (human), 633 nucleotides long. RefSeq annotates it as regulator of early neurogenesis 1. The record is from RefSeq and is marked validated. NCBI's taxonomy places the organism in Eukaryota, Metazoa, Chordata, Mammalia, Primates, Hominidae.